UAGGUUAGGGCUACCGUACUUUUACGAUGCAUUUGGUGCGAAUUAUUCUGACAGAAUUACAGACAAUUCUGCCAUCAUUACUAUAUUUGGUUCAUUCGGUAUGUAAUCAGGUCAUUAACGUAACAUUACAAAUGAUGCAAAAUUAUAUUGAAAAUAUUACCGAGAAGGAGUGUGUAUCUUGAAUUAUUGAAAGCGGUUAAUCUUGUAUGUUAUAUAAAAUUACAAGUUUACACCUCUAACUACCGAAAUCUUUUCAAUAUGUCAUUUUAAAAAUUUUAAUUUUAAAUUUUAAAUUUUAAAUUUUAAAUUUAAAUUUUUAAUUUUUAAUUUAUAAAUUUUAUAUUUAUAUUUUAAAUUAAAUAUUAAAUUUUAUAUUUCUAUUCAAAUUUAAAAUUUCAUAUUUAAACAUUUUAAAUUUUAAAUUAUUUAAAAUAAAAUUUAAUAAAAAAAUUAUUUAUAAAUAGUUAAAAAAAAUUGUCAAAUAUAAGGUAAUUUUGAAAUAGACUAUACAUG
RNAcentral lists this long non-coding RNA (513 nucleotides) under Ananas comosus (pineapple). RNAcentral describes it as "long non-coding RNA (ACOM_LNC018596)". Lineage: Eukaryota; Viridiplantae; Streptophyta; Magnoliopsida; Poales; Bromeliaceae. The record is from RNAcentral.